GGAAGCAAUUCCGGCCGGGGAUGAGCAUGCGGCGCAUUAGCUAGUUGGCGGGGUAACGGCCCACCAAGGCGACGAUGCGUAGGGGUUCUGAGAGGAAGGUCCCCCACACUGGUACUGAGACACGGACCAGACUCCUACGGGAGGCAGCAGUGAGGAAUAUUGGUCAAUGGGCGGGAGCCUGAACCAGCCAAGUCGCGUGAGGGAAGACGGUCCUAUGGAUUGUAAACCUCUUUUGUCGGGGAGCAAAGACGCCUACGCGUAGGCGGAUGAGAGUACCCGAAGAAAAAGCAUCGGCUAACUCCGUGCCAGCAGCCGCGGUAAUACGGAGGAUGCGAGCGUUAUCCGGAUUUAUUGGGUUUAAAGGGUGCGUAGGCGGGGUGUUAAGUCAGCGGUAAAAUUGAGGGGCUCAACCCCUUCGAGCCGUUGAAACUGGCAUUCUUGAGUGAAUGAGAAGUAUGCGGAAUGCGUGGUGUAGCGGUGAAA
Molecule: ribosomal RNA, 483 nt
Filed under: uncultured bacterium
Lineage: Bacteria
Description: bacterial SSU rRNA
Rfam family: Bacterial small subunit ribosomal RNA
Source: RNAcentral